GGCUUCCGGAGCUAACGCGUUAAAUCGACCGCUGGGGAGUACGGCCGCAAGGUUAAAACUCAAAUGAAUUGACGGGGGCCCGCACAAGCGGUGGAGCAUGUGGUUUAAUUCGAUGCAACGCGAAGAACCUUACCUACUCUUGACAUCCAGAGAAUUUAGCAGAGAUGCUUUAGUGCCUUCGGGAACUCUGAGACAGGUGCUGCAUGGCUGUCGUCAGCUCGUGUUGUGAAAUGUUGGGUUAAGUCCCGCAACGAGCGCAACCCUUAUCCUUUGUUGCCAGCACAUUAUGGUGGGAACUCAAAGGAGGCUGCCGGUGAUAAACCGGAGGAAGGUGGGGAUGACGUCAAGUCAUCAUGGCCCUUACGAGUAGGGCUACACACGUGCUACAAUGGCGUAUACAAAGAGAAGCGACCUCGCGAGAGCAAGCGGAACUCAUAAAGUACGUCGUAGUCCGGAUUGGAGUCUGCAACUCGACUCCAUGAAGUCGGAAUCGCUAGUAAUCGUAGAUCAGAAUGCUACGGUGAAUACGUUCCCGGGCCUUGUACACACCGCCCGUCACACCAUGGGAGUGGGUUGCAAAAGAAGUAGGUAGCUUAACCUUCGGGAGGGCGCUUACCACUUUGUGAUUCAUGACUGGGGUGAAGUCGUAACAAGGUAACCA
Molecule: ribosomal RNA, 661 nt
Filed under: uncultured Providencia sp.
Lineage: Bacteria; Pseudomonadati; Pseudomonadota; Gammaproteobacteria; Enterobacterales; Morganellaceae
Description: bacterial SSU rRNA
Rfam family: Bacterial small subunit ribosomal RNA
Source: RNAcentral